UAAGGAAUAUUGGUCAAUGGACGCAAGUCUGAACCAGCCAUGCCGCGUGGAGGAUGAAGGUCCUCUGGAUUGUAAACUUCUUUUAUCUGGGACGAAACACUUCUUUUCUAAGAGGCCUGACGGUACCAGAUGAAUAAGCACCGGCUAACUCCGUGCCAGCAGCCGCGGUAAUACGGAGGGUGCAAGCGUUAUCCGGAUUCACUGGGUUUAAAGGGUGCGUAGGUGGGUAUGUAAGUCAGUGGUGAAAUCCCCGAGCUUAACUUGGGAACUGCCAUUGAUACUAUAUAUCUUGAAUACCGUAGAGGUAAGCGGAAUAUGUCAUGUAGCGGUGAAAUGCUUAGAUAUGACAUGGAACACCAAUUGCGAAGGCAGCUUACUAUGCGGUGAUUGACACUGAGGCACGAAAGCGUGGGUAGCAA
This 419-nucleotide ribosomal RNA is filed under the name uncultured bacterium. Its description in RNAcentral is "bacterial SSU rRNA". It matches the Rfam family "Bacterial small subunit ribosomal RNA", at positions 355 to 771 of the family's 1533-position model. The record is from RNAcentral.